GUAAAAUACUACUGCUUUUACUACUGUGGAUGUUUGGUGCAGCCAUCUUGCGUUCUGAACUUGUGGGUUUAUUCCAGUUGAAAUGUUCUACUUAGAACUUGGAAAUUUCCAGUUCUGAAUUCCUAGUUCAGAUGGAAUGCAGUAUAAGGAUUCACAUUAGAGCUCGACCCAACCUGCCCCAUACACUGUCAUUUUGAGCCAAAGCCCGAAUUAAACCUGACAUUUUUUGAGUAAGUAGAGCAUUAAAACUGAGCUUUUAAAAAACAUUUUCGUUCUGUUUAGAAUGAGUGAAGAAUGAAUAAGACCUAUUAUUUAAGAAAAAUAUUAUUAAUUAUUAGGAACAGAUCUCCAAAAGAUUAUAACAUGAACAAUGCAAACAAUGAUCCAAAGGCCUAAACAUUAGGCUACAACAAUGUCUGAAUGACUUUCCUCUAAUCUAGUAUAAUAUAACAUGGUUUAAGAAAAGAAAAUAAAUUCUUUUAUAAUUUUAUUUAUAUUUUUUUCCCAUUUUCUCCCCAAUUUACACAGCCAACCCACUCGUUAGGACUCCCCCUAUCACUAGUAAUGCCCCAACACACCAGGAGGAUGAAGACUAGCACACUCUUUCUCCGAUACAUGUGAAGUCAGCCACCGCUUCUUUUCGAGCUGCUGCUGAUGCAGCAUUGCCAAGGAGCCAGCACAUUUGGAGGAAAGCGCAGCGGCAGGUGAACCCGAGGAACCUGAGGAAAGUGGUGGGAAAUCUCGAGCCAGGGCGCACGGGUACGAUGGUGUGUACAUGGUUGAUUGACAGCGUUUAGUUUGAGAGUGCGCAGGUGUGGGAAAGGGCAAUGGCAGUGAUCUGAAGGUGCGGAUCAUAGUGAAAAGAGAGCAGGUGUUCCAGUGUGUCUGUGCCACGCAGACGAACUGUAGGCUGUUCCCAGAUACUGAAAACAAUGCCGUGGUGAUCAGCUUUCAGGAAGGGCCAGUGGUUUGUGGUGAUGUUAAGGUCAUGUUUGAAUCCAGGGCUGGUCUUCCAAAGGGGUAUGAGGACUAUCCUUUCUAUUUCUGGUUCAACACUUCAUUUGUAGAGAACAACAGGCUCUAUCUGUCAAGGGAGGAACUGGACAACCCACGUAAGUCCAAAACCUGGGACAUCUACAAGGAGGACUUUGGUGUGACCGUGUCUUUCAGUGACCCUGCACUUAUGUAGCAGACGACACUUGCUUGUGUAUCUCAACUAAAACCCUUAAGCCCUGCACAAGGUCUAAAUCUUUGCUCUAAUGUAGGUUUUCACACACUUAUAAAAGGUGAGUGAUGUUUAGGGAUUGGAUUCGGGCAUAUUGUGCCCCUAAAGCUAUAGCUAUAUAACCUCAACUUUAUGUCCAUCCCCCAUCUUCACUGUAAGAGCUUUUUACUGAGCCGUGCAUACACCACAAUAUUAUGCAUUUGUUUGUCAAAUGUUUUUUUUUGUCUUUAAAUGAAGACAAAUGUUUGUGUCAGUUUAGCAUAUUAAGCCUCCAAAAUGUAAAUCUUACUCUUUAAGCUUGAGUGUACAUCAAAUAAAGCAAUCGAGGCUGCCACUGUGAAAUGGUCAAUGGUUAUGUGUGCAGAAACAUGUUUUUGUAGUACACAUGUAUUGAAAUAAAUACUAAUGUCUCUGUAA
Molecule: long non-coding RNA, 1642 nt
Organism: Astyanax mexicanus (Mexican tetra)
Lineage: Eukaryota; Metazoa; Chordata; Actinopteri; Characiformes; Acestrorhamphidae
Exons: 7
Source: RefSeq, a predicted model, not a curated record